GAUGAACGCUGGCGGCGUGCCUAAUACAUGCAAGUCGAGCGAACGGACGAGAAGCUUGCUUCUCUGAUGUUAGCGGCGGACGGGUGAGUAACACGUGGAUAACCUACCUAUAAGACUGGGAUAACUUCGGGAAACCGGAGCUAAUACCGGAUAAUAUUUUGAACCGCAUGGUUCAAAAGUGAAAGACGGUCUUGCUGUCACUUAUAGAUGGAUCCGCACUGCAUUAGCUAGUUGGUAAGGUAACGGCUUACCAAGGCAACGAUGCAUAGCCGACCUGAGAGGGUGAUAGGCCACACUGGAACUGAGACACGGUCCAGACUCCUAAGGGAGGCAGCAGUAGGGAAUCUUCCGCAAUGGGCGAAAGCCUGACGGAGCAACGCCGCGUGAGUGAUGAAGGUCUUCGGAUCGUAAAACUCUGUUAUUAGGGAAGAACAUAUGUGUAAGUAACUGUGCACAUCUUGACGGUACCUAAUCAGAAAGCCACGGCUAACUACGUG
RNAcentral lists this ribosomal RNA (497 nucleotides) under uncultured bacterium. Its description in RNAcentral is "partial 16S ribosomal RNA". It matches the Rfam family "Bacterial small subunit ribosomal RNA", at positions 28 to 507 of the family's 1533-position model. The record is from RNAcentral.